GGGAAAAGAAAUAAGAACCCUAGCUGAAAAAUUUGCGAAAAAUCAAGAGAAAUCAAGAAAUCAAGCAUUAAAAAGGUAAAUUUCAUUGAUUUUCCUUGUGAUUUUCACUACCCAUGCAUUUUUUUCUCAUUUCCAUGCAAAAUUAGAAAGUGGGUAUGGACACCCAUGCUGGCCAAACCUCCAUGGAUGAGUUUUGAGCUUGAGUUUUAGUUGAUUUUAAUUGAAUUAAGUGAUUUUAGUUAGGUUAUAUUGAAAUAUAGCAAAAAUAAGCUAGAGAAAUAAUUUUCUCCCAUUGAAACCCAUUAUGCCGAAUUUUCUAGGGGAAUAUUGGCUGCUGAUCUUGAUGUUUAUUUAAGAAAUUAUGAUGAAUUAUGAGCCUAGAAAAAUAAUGGGAAUUUUCAGAGCAAAAAUAUGAAUUUUUGCCCACUAGGGGUAUUUUUGUAAUUUAUUGUCGAGGCUGAUAAUUUGCACCACCCUGAGAGACAUUUAGUCAAUUUGGGUGCAAUUGAGGUAUAAAAACUGAAAAAAAUUAAUUUAGAAUUUAAACGGAUGCGUAUAUCGAUUUAUCGAGUAAAAGACCGAAAUAGGCUAACAUCGCCUUUAAGCAGUAGUCGGAUAAGUUGCAUAUCAUAUCAUGCAUAUACAUCGAGCCUAAAAUAGCUUAUGACUAUUAGAUAUAAUUUAAUUGGAAUAUGUGUCAUGGAUUAUGGCUAGGUGGUGAGCCAUUGUAUAAGGGUAAAGGCCUAUACCCGCGGACUGAAAACAUGAGUAUUUCUACUCCUAAUACUGUGAGUGGAUAAUUUAUCGUUUUAAAUAUCUAGAGUAAUUAUACUUGUUUGAUGCUUUUAUUGAAUGGUGAGUUUAAAUUAUAAAAUAUUAUAUUUUCCAAUUAAAAUAUUUUUUUAAUAAAAAUGAGAUUUAUAUUGGUUUUGAAAUCAAAUAUUGUUUUGGGAAAAUUGAGUAUAUGGAGACUGUGUUGAAAUUUAUGAUUUUAUAUGUUAUUGAAAUUGGGGCUUAUGACACUAUGGUAGCAUGAUGACUAAGUUUUUGGGGUUGGCAUGAAAUAUAUGAACAGUUUUGGAUUAGUCUCGGUAGACUAGAUUAAAUUUUAUUCACCAUAUUAUGCUACUGGAAAUUUUAUAGGUCUGGUAGUAUAUUAAACAGUCACUGCAGUGGUGGGGGUUUCCAUGGACUGCCUAUGAGAGGGGCAUGGUAACCCAAUUAUAUACUUACCUUUGGGGGGAGAUGUUGGGUGAAGUAUCUCUUGAGGUAUGAUUUGAGUGCACCUCACGUUUGAGCCACCAUGUGAGAGUGAGACUCAGCCAACGCCAAGGAACGGCUGUGUGUCAGAUGUGAAAACAUGUUUAUGGGUAUGGGUCAUUGAACAGCCUUGACGGUUUCAGUGGGAUACCUUGACGAAGGUACCCGCGAGAAUGAUUCUGGCAAGGGCCAAGUUUAAGAAAUUCAUAAGCCGGGAAAUUUUGAUGAAAAUAAAUUGUUUGGUAUAGAUUGAAACAAAUUUUGCGUUAUGAAUAUUAUUGAGAUAUAAUGUUUUUAUAUUGUCUCCAUCUACUCGGCUUUAGAUGCUUUUGAUGGUAAUUGUUUACUCACUGGGAUUAUGUAAUUAUAAUCUCACCCCUCUUCCUAUCCAUUUUUCAGGCUCAGGACAGUUUGUUGAUAGUUGAUUAAGGCGAGAAUUAAUCUCAGAGUUUCAUCCUAGAAAGUAAGGGUUCGUAGCCCUACACCUUCUUGGUCAGUUGGGAGCCCAUGUGUCACUGUAAAAGAAAUUUUAUACUUCAGUUAUCUGAUUUAAAGUAUGUAUGAACAUAUUUAUCUUUUACACCAUGUUUUUGGUGGGUUUUGAUGUUUUCGAAGAAAAAUGACGAAAAUGCCCAUGUGAGCAAAAAAAAUAAUAUUUUAUUAUUUUUAUUUGAAAAAGACUUAUGAUUUCUUGAAAUGUAAUAUUUAAUAACUGUCGCUCACCGGAGAGAUGCGGAAGCUGAUGCUAAGCCUUGCGGGGUUUCGAUCGGCAUUUGGGGUAAUGAGUGCCUAUCAGGACGUCGCGACGGUUGUCACAAGCUCGAUGGGUAGUUCCGGG
This 2098-nucleotide long non-coding RNA is filed under the name Theobroma cacao (cacao). Its description in RNAcentral is "long non-coding RNA (TCAC_LNC000211)". Lineage: Eukaryota; Viridiplantae; Streptophyta; Magnoliopsida; Malvales; Malvaceae. The record is from RNAcentral.